GAUGAACGCUGGCGGCGUGCCUAAUACAUGCAAGUCGAGCGGAAAGAUGCUGAGCUUGCUCCUCUUACGUUUGCCGCGGACGGGUGAGUAACACGUGGAUAACCUCCCUAAAAUACUGGGAACAUCUCGGGAAACCGGCUCUUAUCCCAGAUAAUAUAUUGCAACACAGUGUUCAAUGGUUAAAUGCGGCUUUUCUGGUACUUCUCGAUGGUUCCGAGCCGCCUUAGCUAGUUGGGAAGGUCAAAGCCUUCCAAGGGAACCAUGCGUGGCCGAGCUGAGAGGGUGAUCGGCCACACUGGAACGGAGACACGGUCCAGACUCCUACGGGAGGCAGCAGUAGGGAAUCUUCCGCAAUGGGCGAAAGCCUGACGGAGCAACGCCGCGUGAGUGAUGAAGGUCUUCGGAUCGUAAAACUCUGUUAUGAGGGAAGAACAAAUGUGUAAGUAACUAUGCACGUCUUGACGGUACCUAAUCAGAAAGCCACGGCUAACUACGUG
Molecule: ribosomal RNA, 497 nt
Filed under: uncultured bacterium
Lineage: Bacteria
Description: partial 16S ribosomal RNA
Rfam family: Bacterial small subunit ribosomal RNA
Source: RNAcentral